Molecule: long non-coding RNA, 2833 nt
Organism: Oncorhynchus kisutch (coho salmon)
Lineage: Eukaryota; Metazoa; Chordata; Actinopteri; Salmoniformes; Salmonidae
Exons: 3
Source: RefSeq, a predicted model, not a curated record
UGGCGAUGUGCGUCUUUCAGGCGACGCGGCUAGUGUGACGUAUAAUCUAGUGGACGAAACACUUCAACAACAACAGCGAGUCAUCCACCUCCGUAGCCAACAUAGCUGAAAGAUUCAAGCUGUUUAGACUGUUUCGGUGUAUAUUAUCCACUAUAUUUUAAACACACUUCUGUCGGCUUAUGCCGUUUAGCUAGUUACCCCCUUUAAUUCCAUAUUUAGCUUUCUAGUAGCUAGCUGGAUGGCUAACAUUCCCGACCAUGAGGUCAGUAAGCUACUCUCCUCCUGCUAAAGAAGAGGUCUGCUGGACGAAGAAAGAGAGCCUGUGGCAGAACAUUGUUGUGAAAGAGGAGAAGGAAGAGGAGGAUGUUACAGUGAAAGAAGAAAAAUACGUUUCGGUGAAAGAAGAGGAAGACGCGUUCAGAGUGAAAGAGGAGGAGGAUGUUACAGUGAAAGAAGAGGCGGAGGAACAGGGGAAGAUAACUGUCACAUCGAACGAGGAGGAGGAGGCGACUAGGGAUCUGAUUAACAACAUUCAGUACUAUCUUGGAAACGGGCACAAACUGUCUGCAGUUGUUGAACUGAUGCAGGUUUAAACUGAGAGAGACCAGACUCUCCUUCUGACAGCAGGAAGAGUCCUUCAGGGGAACCAGACCCUGAGACGUCCAAACCAGCAGGACGACAUCACUGCUCCCAGUGUGGAAAGAGUUUUACUCAGUUAGGGAGCCUGAAAACACAUAAGAGAAGACACACAGAAGAGACGCCUGACCACUGCUCCUUGUGUGGAAAGAGUUUUAGGUGGUUUGGGAGCGUGGAAAGGCAUGAGAGGACACGCACAGGAGAAAAGCCUUUCUAAUGUUCCCAUUGUGGAAAGAGUUGUACCCAGUUAGGGAGCCUGAAGGAGCAUGAGAGAAUGACAUUGAGGUUAAAUAAAGUGUGCUUUAUGAAUGUAACAUAUUUUGACACGUCCACUGUGGGGCGCUGUAGAGUCAUAAUAUCCAUAACAACUAGAGGUCAAACAGGGAAAUGGCUCCAAUCGUUUUUCCACCAUUCAUUUUUCCCAUAGGGCUGUGUUUGUUUAGGCUUACCCUGGUGUGACGUUUUGAUAACCAUGUGAAUCUCUCUAGGACAAGGUGACUGAUGCCACACCGUGUGUUGUGAAUGUAUUGUAAUGUUUUUAAUAUUGUAUAACUGCCUUUAUUUUGCUGUACCCCAGGAAGAGUAGCUGCUGCCUUGGCAGGAACUAAUGGAGAUCCUUUAUUCACGGAUCCGAUCAUGCUAAUUAGCAUCAAAGUAGACAACAUGCAAGACUACAAAUAAUAAUAAUAAUAAACUUCUUUCAUUAAGUAUGAUGGAGGCCACAAAGACUACAAAUCCCUGCAGCUCCACAGAUUCAGACUACAAAUAAUAAUAAUAACAAACUUCUUCCAUUUAAGUAUGAUAGAGGCCACUAAAUCUACAAAUCCCUGUAGCUCCACGGAUUCAGACUACAUAUAAUAAUAAUAAACUUCUUCCAUUAAGUAUGAUGGAGGCCACUAAGACUACAAAUAGAAAGGCGACGCUGCCAGUGUGACGUAUAAUCUAGUGGACGGGAUGCUCCUUCAACAACAACAGCUAGUCAACAGACACCUCGGUAGCUUUUUAGCAAAUAUAGCUACAACAUUCACGCUCUUUACACUGUUUUUGUGUAUAUUAGUCGCUGUGUAUUAAACACACUUCUGUCGUAUGUAGUCGUUGGCCCAUUUAAUUAUAUAUUUACGUUGUUUGUCAGCUAGCUGAUUUGCUAAGUUAGCUUAGAACUAGGCUAAUCGCUAAUGCUAGCUAGCUAACAUCUCCGACCAUGAGUUCACUAAGCUACUCUCCUCCUGCUAAAGAAGAGGUGGUCUGCUGGACGGAGAAAGAAGCUCUGGUGAAAGAGGAGGAUGUUACAAUACAAAAACAAGUAGAGGGUGAGGCUGUUACCGUGAAAGAAGAAGAGAGACAUUUCAGUGAACGAAGAGGAAGACACGUUCAGAGUGAAAGAGGAGGAGGAUGUUACAGUAACAUGAGAGGAUGAUUCAGUUUUUGGAGUGAAGGAGGAGGGGGAGAUGACUGUCAUAAUGGAGGAAGAAGAGGAGGUUGGAUAUCUGUUUAACACCAAUAAAGGGUCCGGUUAGCCCUGACCAUUAUCCGUUUCCAAUUCACCAUCGCAAAGUCGCUUGCCCGAUCCAUCAAAACUCCUUACGUUUUCCCUCCAUGUGUAGAUCAACCGUCCUGCAUGUAAAUUCUGGGUAUGCCCACAUCAUUAAUGAAUAAGAUGUGUAGAAAACUGUUUAGCCAUAGUUAAAGGCCUUUCAUAAAGAGGCUGUCAUGAUUGCCUGUGCCACAUGUUUAACACGUAUUGCUUGUUACCGAAUACUACACAGCAGAUUUCGUCGCAUUUGCACAAAUUCUGUCCUGUUACUGUGGUCUUUUUAAAUGUCAAUAAAUAUGUGUGUAAAGUGUACAUGUUUGUUUCACUGUAGAUUUGUUUAAGACCUCCUAGGAACACCUAAUUUCAUCCCACAGCAUUAAUUAAUAAGCUGUGUAGAAGCUGUUUAGCCAUAAGUAAAGGCCUUUCAUAAAGAAGCUGUCAUGAUAAACCUGAAUCUGAAAUUACCUUUAGGAUCUUUUCUUUGGGGUUCUAAUCUCCCCAGGUGUGCAGGCCCUGAAAAUCAUUAGGCUGGAGCCAUCUGGAAGCUCUGUGCCUGUACAUAUAAAGACAACUAAAUAGGAAACUAGGCUGAGAGACAUUAUUUAGAUGGCUGUUUAAUUGUUGUUUAAAGCUUGAAAUGGACACAAUGCCAAGGGACCUUGU